CGCGCGUAUCUAAGGAUCCUAAUAAGGUAAUAUAUAAUAACAAAUGAAACAACAAUAACCCCAGCAAGUAUGCAUGUUCUCCGACCUGAUUUCUUCUCAAAUACCAUCUUGAAUCUAUCCAUGGUUCCUGACAUUAUGCCCCUUGAUAUGUCCAUUUUGUUGCCCAUUCGAUCAAGCAAACGAUUAUGACUCUCCACUUCCUCGUGUAUGUCCCCUGUUAAUCUCUUCAAGAAAAUAACUCUGUCUUGCAAACUGUUAAUAGCUUUGUCAUUGUCGUGCUCAUUAAUAUUAUGGGGAUAUGAAGAAGAGGCCCUAAGGCCGCCUUCUUCAAGGGCAUCAUCAAAUACAGCUGACCUUGAAUUGCGGUUAUCCCUUCUGUAACUCAUUGUUUGCGAGAAUCACCAAAGUUGGUU
RNAcentral lists this unclassified non-coding RNA (413 nucleotides) under Hevea brasiliensis (rubber tree). The record is from RNAcentral. Lineage: Eukaryota; Viridiplantae; Streptophyta; Magnoliopsida; Malpighiales; Euphorbiaceae.